Molecule: small RNA, 21 nt
Filed under: Arabidopsis thaliana (thale cress)
Lineage: Eukaryota; Viridiplantae; Streptophyta; Magnoliopsida; Brassicales; Brassicaceae
Description: Ath_wt_21614
Source: RNAcentral
CCUAUACCCGGCCGUCGGGGC